AUAAUUUAUAAUAUAUUAAUUUAAAAUCCAUUAAUUAUCUAAUAAAUCUAAACAUUAUUAAAUUUAGUAAAGGUGUUUAAAAUUUUAUGUCAUUAUUAGUAACUAAGUACUGUAAAGGAAUACUAUUAAUAAUAAAAAAGAAAAAAUGAAUCUUUUUACCUUUUGCAUCAUGGUUUAGCUAGAUUUAAAUUGAAUAUACUUCAAUUUCUCGAAAUUUAAUGAGCUAUUUUUAGUUUACAUGUUAGUGUAAAAUCAGUAGUUGUAGCAAAAACUUUUUUAAAACUAAGAAUAGAGAUGAAAUUUUAUUCGCAUUAAAUGAUAGCUAGUUCUUUUUAAAAUGCAUAUAAGUGCUUAAAAUUGAAUUAUUUCUGCAAUAUUUUAGCAGAUAUUUAGAUUCAAUUUAAUUAAAUUUUUAAGGAUAAGCUUAGAAAUUUUUAUUAUAAGAACGUUUUAAUCAUAUACUUAAAUUUGAGCUUGAAAAUAGCUAUUGUAAAUAUAGAUUUUGUUACAAUUUCAUUAUUUAUUUAAAUGUAUAAUUAUUUUGUUUUAAUUUAAAAGAAAGAGAACUCAAAAAUUAAUCUAGUGUUAUUUUUAUGCUAAGAUGAGUAUUUUUAUAAAUUAAAUAAUCUAGAAAUAAAGAAAAUGAGAUUAUAAUUUAAUUAUUAUUUAUAAAUCUUAAAAAGGAACUCGGCAAAUUUAUAUUCUGCCUGUUUAUUAAAAACAUGGCUCCUUGUUAACAAUAAUAAAUAAGGAGUUGGACCUGCCCGGUGAAAAUUUUUAACGGCCGCGGUACUCUGACCGUGCAAAGGUAGCAUAAUCAUUUGCCUUAUAAUUGAAGGCUAGUAUGAAUGGUUUGACAAGAAUAUGACUGUCUCUUUAUAGAUUUAUUAGAAUUUUAUCUUAAGGUGAAGAAGCCUUAAUUAAAUUAAUAGACAAGAAGACCCUGUCGAGCUUUAAAAAACUUAAUAGAACUAAAUAUAAAUCAAAAAGAAAAAAUUGACUAUUAAAAACUUUAGUUGGGGCGACUGAGGAAUAAAUAAAGCUUCCUUUAUUUUUUGAAAUAUAUAAAUUUAGAUCCAAAAAUUUUGAUUAAAAAAAUUAGUUACCGCAGGGAUAACAGCAUUAUCUUUUUUAAGAGUUCUUAUCGAAAAAAAGGUUUGUGACCUCGAUGUUGGACCAGAAUAUCCCAAAGAUGCAGAAGUCUUUAAAGGUUGGUCUGUUCGACCAUUAAAAUUCUACGUGAUCUGAGUUUAGACCGGCGUGAGCCAGGUCAGUUUCUAUCUUUAAUUACUUAAGUAUACUUAGUACGAAAGGACCAGUUUACUAUAAGUUGUCAUAUUAAUUAAGAAAAAAUAUAAGAAUAACUUAAAAA
This 1372-nucleotide ribosomal RNA is filed under the name Splendrillia sp. 1 MNHN IM 2013-9619. RNAcentral describes it as "16S ribosomal RNA". The stretch from base 613 to 1372 matches the Rfam family "Archaeal large subunit ribosomal RNA", at positions 1423 to 2881 of the family's 2987-position model. Lineage: Eukaryota; Metazoa; Mollusca; Gastropoda; Neogastropoda; Drilliidae. The record is from RNAcentral.